RNAcentral lists this ribosomal RNA (406 nucleotides) under uncultured bacterium. RNAcentral's name for it is "partial 16S ribosomal RNA". It matches the Rfam family "Bacterial small subunit ribosomal RNA", at positions 30 to 526 of the family's 1533-position model. The record is from RNAcentral.
AUUGAACGCUGGCGGCAGGCCUAACACAUGCAAGUCGAACGAGUGGCGGACGGGAGAGUCGCGUCUGUGAACCUGCCUUAUGUCGGGGAAUACCUACUGGAACCGGUAGCUAAUACCGCUUACCCUCACAUUUGCCCAUCUGGGAUUGGCUAGUAGGUUGGGUAAUGGCUCACCUAGGCGACGAUCCCUAGCUGGUCUGAGAGGAUGACCAGCCACACUGGAACUGAGACACGGUCCAGACUCCUACGGGAGGCAGCAGUGGGGAAUAUUGCACAAUGGGCGAAAGCCUGAUGCAGCCAUGCCGCGUGUGUGAAGAAGGCCUUCGGGUUGUAAAGCACUUUCAGCGGGGAGGCGUUACCCGCAGAGGAAGCAACGGCUAACUACGUGCCAGCAGCCGCGGUAAUAC